RNAcentral lists this small RNA (257 nucleotides) under Loxodonta africana (African savanna elephant). RNAcentral's name for it is "7SK RNA (ENSLAFG00000033231.1)". The stretch from base 1 to 193 matches the Rfam family "7SK RNA". Rfam says of the family: 7SK was discovered as an abundant small nuclear RNA in the mid-70s but a possible function has only recently been suggested. Two independent studies have found that 7SK RNA binds the CDK9/cyclin T complex (known as elongation factor P-TEFb). Lineage: Eukaryota; Metazoa; Chordata; Mammalia; Proboscidea; Elephantidae. The record is from RNAcentral.
GGGUAAACUGGCUGGCAAAUUUAUCAUUUCCCUAAGGGCUAGGGCUGAUUUAGUGGAGCUGGCUGGCUGAGUUGGUGUCCCCUCCUGCUCCCCGUGUAUCUUUUCCCUAAAGGUGCAAGCUCAGUCAAAUAGAAUGAGUAACCUUUCCAGAGACAGGAUGGAUGGUCAAGCUUCAAUCAAGGGAUUACCUGUUUCAGUUCCCCUGACUUAACUGUAAGACCUGCAGCAUUUAUCAACAGAGGAAUCUUCUCUUCUCU